GAUGAAGAACGUAGCGAAAUGCGAUAAGUAAUGUGAAUUGCAGAAUUCAGGGAAUCAUCGAAUCUUUGAACGCACAUUGCGCCCGCCAGUAUUCUGGCGGGCAUGCCUGUUCGAGCGUCAUUUCAACCAUCAAGCCCCCGGCUUGUGUUGGGGACCUGCGGCUGCCGCAGGCCCUGAAAACCAGUGGCGGGCUCGCUGUCACACCGAGCGUAGUAGAUUUUCAUCUCGCUCAGGGCGUGCUGCGGGUUCCGGCCGUAAAAAGCCUUAUUUACCCAAGGUUGACCUCGGAUCAGGUAGGAAGACCCGCUGAACUUAAGCAUAUCAAUAAGCGGAGGA
Molecule: unclassified non-coding RNA, 336 nt
Filed under: soil metagenome
Description: partial contains 5.8S ribosomal RNA, internal transcribed spacer 2, and large subunit ribosomal RNA
Rfam family: 5.8S ribosomal RNA (bases 1-120)
Source: RNAcentral